CUUAACACAUGCAAGUCGAGCGGGCGUAGCAAUACGUCAGCGGCAGACGGGUGAGUAACGCGUGGAACGUUACCUUUUGGUUUCGGGAACCAACACAGGGAAACUUGUGCUAAUACCGGAUAAGCCCUUACGGGGAAAGAUUUAUCGCCGAAAGAUCGGCCCGCGUCUGAUUAGCUUGUUGGUGAGGUAACGGCUCACCAAGGCGACGAUCAGUAGCUGGUCUGAGAGGAUGAUCAGCCACAUUGGGACUGAGACACGGCCCAAACUCCUACGGGAGGCAGCAGUGGGGAAUAUUGGACAAUGGGGGAAACCCUGAUCCAGCCAUGCCGCGUGAGUGAUGAAGGCCCUAGGGUUGUAAAGCUCUUUUGUGCGGGAAGAUAAUGACGGUACCGCAAGAAUAAGCCCCGGCUAACUUCGUG
Molecule: ribosomal RNA, 419 nt
Filed under: uncultured bacterium
Lineage: Bacteria
Description: bacterial SSU rRNA
Rfam family: Bacterial small subunit ribosomal RNA
Source: RNAcentral